UACAGAGGUCUCAAGCGUUGUUCGGAUUCAUUGGGCGUAAAGGGUGCGUAGGCGGGCUGUCAAGUCUGGGGUGAAAUCCCGCGGCUCAACCGUGGAACUGCCUCAGAUACUGACGGUCUCGAGGGGGAUAGGGGCGAGCGGAACUGUGAGUGGAGCGGUGAAAUGCGUUGAUAUUCACAGGAACUCCGGUGGCGAAGGCGGCUCGCUGGAUCUCUUCUGACGCUGAGGCGCGAAAGCUAGGGGAGCAAACGGG
This 253-nucleotide ribosomal RNA is filed under the name uncultured bacterium. RNAcentral's name for it is "partial 16S ribosomal RNA". It matches the Rfam family "Bacterial small subunit ribosomal RNA", at positions 524 to 776 of the family's 1533-position model. The record is from RNAcentral.